Molecule: ribosomal RNA, 344 nt
Filed under: uncultured bacterium
Lineage: Bacteria
Description: bacterial SSU rRNA
Rfam family: Bacterial small subunit ribosomal RNA
Source: RNAcentral
GAGUUUGAUCCUGGCUCAGGACGAACGCUGGCGGCGUGCUUAACACAUGCAAGUCGAACGAUGAAGCCAGCUUGCUGGUGGAUUAGUGGCGAACGGGUGAGUAACACGUGGGCAACCUGCCCUCAGCUCUGGGAUAACUCCAAGAAAUUGGUGCUAAUACCGGAUAUUCUUCUUUCACCGCAUGGUGGUUGGAGGAAAGUUUUUCGGCUGGGGAUGGGCCCGCGGCCUAUCAGCUUGUUGGUGGGGUGAUGGCCUACCAAGGCGACGACGGGUAGCCGGCCUGAGAGGGUGACCGGCCACACUGGGACUGAGACACGGCCCAGACUCCUACGGGACGCAGCAGA